RNAcentral lists this long non-coding RNA (244 nucleotides) under Elaeis guineensis (African oil palm). RNAcentral's name for it is "long non-coding RNA (EGUI_LNC025561)". The record is from RNAcentral. Lineage: Eukaryota; Viridiplantae; Streptophyta; Magnoliopsida; Arecales; Arecaceae.
GGAUUGAAGGGUUGUCGAGCUAGUGUAAUUGUUUUGCCACACCAUCUCUGGUAAACUUGAUAAUGCUCAUCAUCAUCUUAGUGUUUCUACUCAUCAGGGAUUUUCGAGGAUGAGUCUCGAGAAUCGCAGCUGAGGUGGCACAACCCCAUAAUAAAGACAAAUAAGUUAGGACCUAGAUCCAAUAAAUGCUUAUUCAUGGGAUAUCCUAAAGAAAUAAAAGUAUAUUAUUUCUACCUUGCUGAAG